Molecule: ribosomal RNA, 253 nt
Filed under: uncultured bacterium
Lineage: Bacteria
Description: partial 16S ribosomal RNA
Rfam family: Bacterial small subunit ribosomal RNA
Source: RNAcentral
UACGUAGGGUGCGAGCGUUAAUCGGAAUUACUGGGCGUAAAGCGUGCGCAGGCGGUUCGUCGUGUCCGAUGUGAAAGCCCCGGGCUCAACCUGGGAAUGGCAUUGGAAACUGGCGGGCUUGAGUGUGGCAGAGGGGGGUGGAAUUCCGCGUGUAGCAGUGAAAUGCGUAGAGAUGCGGAGGAACACCGAUGGCGAAGGCAGCCCCCUGGGCUAACACUGACGCUCAGGCACGAAAGCGUGGGGAGCGAACAGG